Long non-coding RNA from Daphnia carinata, 663 nucleotides. RefSeq lists it as uncharacterized. NCBI's taxonomy places the organism in Eukaryota, Metazoa, Arthropoda, Branchiopoda, Diplostraca, Daphniidae. The transcript is spliced from 3 exons. The record is from RefSeq and is a predicted model, not a curated record.
UGAUUCUGGCUCACCAAUGGAAACAGAACACAUUUAGGAAAUAAACGGGGGUUCAUCGAGCACGAUCACGUUGCAAACUGCUGUCUAUAUAGGCGUGACGGAUAUCGAAAAACUUAAGAUUCAACUUUUACCUGGCAACUCCGACAAAUUACCUGACAUCAAAACAGACACUAACCGACAUGCAUCGAUGUUGGCUCUUUUCCAAGUCAGUGGAUCCCCCUGGUUCAGGUAUCUAAUCAUGUGAGUGGAUGAGCCGACGGGACGAGACCUAUCUUUGCCUUCAGAGAAUCUAAUUAAAAUGCAGCAUGGUAAACCACGUAUUUUUCCCGAAAUCCUCGGCAAAAUUGUACCUCAUUACCUGGUUUGGAUACUCAUUCACGGCGCAUGUGGAUCCAGUUUUCUUUUUGAAUUCAAUAUGUUACACGAGACUUUAUUUUCCGCUUUGUGGUGGUAGUCUGCGGUUGGCAUGGCAACUGUUCCUAAUAAAUGAGAUCGACGAGGGACCACUGAGAUAUGGUAAAGCAAAGGAAACGUGAGAGCCGUGAUGAGACCAGUAGAGUUCCGGCUGCAAUUGCAUUCGCAGUGUAAAAUUAAAUCAAGAGGUUUUAAGUGAGAUCAACCGAACGACUACUUUCAUCAACUCUAUCUGCCUACUCACUGACG